RNAcentral lists this transfer RNA (85 nucleotides) under Felis catus (domestic cat). It matches the Rfam family "tRNA". Rfam says of the family: Transfer RNA (tRNA) molecules are approximately 80 nucleotides in length. Their secondary structure includes four short double-helical elements and three loops (D, anti-codon, and T loops). Lineage: Eukaryota; Metazoa; Chordata; Mammalia; Carnivora; Felidae. The record is from Rfam by way of RNAcentral.
GCCUGGGAGGCUCAGUCGGUCGAGCAUCCGACUUCGGCUCAGGUCAUGAUCUCAAAGCUCGUGGGUUCGAGCCCCACGUCGGGCU